AAACCUGUUAUUUCUUUGUCACAGAAACUUCCAGAAACUGAGGUAGAUCAGUGGUUAACUCGGUUAUCAGUCUGGAAUUGCCUGGGAGGCUGCUGGCUUCACAGCCAGUGGGUAUCAGAAGCAGGACCUGAAUGUGACUCUUCCUGAUUCCAAGACCUCAGGCAUAUCCACUGGGACUCCAGGAACAUCUUCCAUCUUAGUUUCUCCAUCUGGGCCUGGAGUUCCCUGGAGUACUUGGGAUAAGGAGGAGCAGACUCUAAUCUCGGGAUCCCCCAGGUAGACCCCUGGGAGGGUGUGCAAAUAGCAUGCUAAAAACAGCCCAUGAAGCACCAGGCCAGAGUUAACACAGAAUCGCAGACUUGACAGUCGGAAGGCAGCUCAGCAGCCAUCUAUCCCAAGCAACACACACAAGAGAUUCCUGAUCGAAGAUACUGGCCAAGUGGACAGUCACCCAGCUUUCUUGAAGGCUUCCAAGGAAGGGGAAACCCCCACUUUCUGCAGCAGCCCAGGGCACUCUGGGUCAGCUCUUACUGUUAGGAAGCCAAGCCUCAACUGCCCUUUCCGAACAUUUGAUCCACUGCUUUUGAUCUGUCCCCUGGAGGCCCAGGAGAACAAAUAUAAUGGCUCACCCACUCCUCAGUUCUUCAGAUACUUGAAUAUAACAAAUGUGUACCAUCCUUCUCCUCCAAAAUGUCCCUAAGUAUUUUCUUCUUCAGGCUAAAAACCCAUGGCUCCUUCAAUGCAUUCUCCUAGGACGAAGACCUGAGGUGAGCAGACCUGAGGCCCUUCACCUCGCUCCACUCCUUCUGUUCCUCCAGAGGCUCUCUAACUAAUCAGUGUUGUAUCAUUCAACUGUGAUACCUACAACUGAAUACAACACUCAGGGUAGGAGAGCUGAGGGUGGAGAGCUUUGCCAAAGUAGGGAUUAUAUAGCAGUCAGCUGGGAAGAAGAAAGGAACACAGUAUUGGCCUGAGGUUUGGGAAGGCAGCUGUAGUAACAAAAAGAACACUUGGGCUUAGAAGACCUGGG
Phascolarctos cinereus (koala) is the source of this 1030-nucleotide non-coding RNA. The record is from RefSeq and is a predicted model, not a curated record. Lineage: Eukaryota; Metazoa; Chordata; Mammalia; Diprotodontia; Phascolarctidae.